This 496-nucleotide ribosomal RNA is filed under the name uncultured bacterium. RNAcentral describes it as "partial 16S ribosomal RNA". It matches the Rfam family "Bacterial small subunit ribosomal RNA", at positions 29 to 507 of the family's 1533-position model. The record is from RNAcentral.
AUGAACGCUGGCGGCGUGCCUAAUACAUGCAAGUCGAGCGAACGGACGAGAAGCUUGCUUCUCUGAUGUUAGCGGCGGACGGGUGAGUAACACGUGGAUAACCUACCUAUAAGACUGGGAUAACUUCGGGAAACCGGAGCUAAUACCGGAUAAUAUUUUGAACCGCAUGGUUCAAAAGUGAAAGACGGUCUUGCUGUCACUUAUAGAUGGAUCCGCGCUGCAUUAGCUAGUUGGUAAGGUAACGGCUUACCAAGGCAACGAUGCAUAGCCGACCCGAGAGGGUGAUCGGCCACACUGGAACUGAGACACGGUCCAGACUCCUACGGGAGGCAGCAGUAGGGAAUCUUCCGCAAUGGGCGAAAGCCUGACGGAGCAACGCCGCGUGAGUGAUGAAGGUCUUCGGAUCGUAAAACUCUGUUAUUAGGGAAGAACAUAUGUGUAAGUAACUGUGCACAUCUUGACGGUACCUAAUCAGAAAGCCACGGCUAACUACGUG